RNAcentral lists this ribosomal RNA (253 nucleotides) under uncultured bacterium. RNAcentral describes it as "partial 16S ribosomal RNA". It matches the Rfam family "Bacterial small subunit ribosomal RNA", at positions 524 to 776 of the family's 1533-position model. The record is from RNAcentral.
UACGUAGGGUGCAAGCGUUGUCCGGAAUUAUUGGGCGUAAAGAGCUCGUAGGCGGUCUGUCGCGUCGGCUGUGAAAUCCCGGAGCUCAACUCCGGGUCUGCAGUCGAUACGGGCAAACUGGAGUACUGCAGGGGAGACUGGAAUUCCUGGUGUAGCGGUGAAAUGCGCAGAUAUCAGGAGGAACACCGGUGGCGAAGGCGGGUCUCUGGGAAACAACUGACGCUGAGGAACGAAAGCGUGGGUAGCAAACAGG